Molecule: unclassified non-coding RNA, 2100 nt
Filed under: Hevea brasiliensis (rubber tree)
Lineage: Eukaryota; Viridiplantae; Streptophyta; Magnoliopsida; Malpighiales; Euphorbiaceae
Source: RNAcentral
GUCAUGGCUCCCACUUGCCUUUGUAUUCUACCUCUUUUUCUUUCCCUUUAUAAGUCUGUAAAACUUCAAAAUUUGAUUUAAUUUCAUUUUUUUUGCCAGAAAUUUUUUUUAUUGAUCAAUUUUCAUUAACUUCCUAAAUGAUGAAAAGUCAAGAGAUAUAUUUUUCAUUAUCAAGUGUUGAUUCUUAAUAUGGCUUAAUAAAUAAGCAAAAUAAGAUUGAUUACAACUAGAAAUUAAGGAAUUGAUUACUACUAGAAAUUGAGGACAGAGUUUAAUCCAAAAUACUUAGUUAUGGAACAACUAUUCGUCACAUGAACUAGCUCGGGAAAAGCUAACUUUUGAUCUGAAACGUACAAAAAGAUUGGUAGCAAUAGCAUGAAUUAAUUCAAGAUUGCAGCAAGUAGUUGCAGUAAUACACAACCACCUAUUCUGGUUUGCAUUUUAUGUUUCAAGCUCCUCUUUAUUCAAUGAAGUUGAAGCCCACCAAGCUAUAUAUAAACCCCAUCUCAAUAAUUAUUUUUCCAAUAACAAAAACUAGCUAGUUAUAUAGUUACAUUUAAUAUAUAUAUUAAAUUCUUGGAAUAAUGCCAAUGGCUACUAUUUCAAUUCCAUCCAUUACCAAGAUGGUGUUUUUCCUUUUAGCAGUAGCUGCAGGUGUUGUUCUGCAAUCUGAGGCUCGAGCAUUCUUUGUGUUUGGUGAUUCACUCGUGGACAGUGGCAAUAACAACUACCUUGCAACAACUGCCCGUGCAGAUUCUCCUCCUUAUGGAAUUGAUUACCCAACUCAUCGUCCCACAGGCCGUUUCUCUAAUGGCCUUAACAUUCCAGACAUUAUCAGUUGUGUUUUGCAGUGUUUCUGAUUAUAUAUAGCAUUUACAUUAAUGGGAUUUGCUUUUCUUAGUAGAAGGUAAUGAAAUAAAUAUGUAUUUCAAAUUCAUCACUUGUGUGAAUUUUAUGCAUUUCCAGGUGAGAGAAUCGGAGCAGAACCUGUAUUGCCAUACCUGAGUCCAGAACUAACUGCACAAAGGUUGCUUAAUGGUGCCAAUUUUGCUUCUGCUGGGAUUGGAAUCCUCAAUGACACUGGGGUUCAAUUCCUGAACAUUAUCAGAAUGGAUAAACAGUUGGAAUGCUUUCAAGAAUACCAGCAGCGGGUUCGUGAUCUUAUUGGAGGUGAUCGAACUAAGCAACUUGUAAAUGGAGCACUAAUCCUGAUCGCUGUCGGUGGCAAUGAUUUUGUGAACAACUAUUACUUGCUUCCCUAUUCUGCUAGGUCUCGCCAAUUUCCUUUGCCAGAUUAUGUCAAGUACCUCAUUUCAGAGUACAAAAAAUUAUUAAUGGAACUAUAUAAAUUGGGAGCAAGAAGAGUUCUCGUGACAGGUACUGGACCACUGGGCUGCGUUCCAGCAGAACUAGCUUUGCGGGGCACAAAUGGUGGUUGCUCUGCUGAACUUCAGCGAGCUGCUUCCUUGUACAACCCUCAACUUGUUGAGAUGCUCAAAGGACUGAACAAAAAAAUUGGCAAAAAUGUGUUCAUCGGUGCAAAUACACAAAGAAUGCACACGGAUUUCAUCAGUAAUCCCCAAGCAUAUGGAUUCACUACAUCACAGGUUGCCUGUUGUGGACAGGGACAAUACAAUGGUCUUGGACUAUGCACAGCAGCAUCAAACUUAUGUCCAAACAGAGGUGAGUAUGCAUUCUGGGAUCCGUUCCAUCCAUCUGAGAAGGCAAAUAGGCUGCUUGUUGAAGCGAUGUUCUCUGGCUCUACCAAUUACAUGGUCCCUAUGAAUCUUAGAACCAUCAUGGCCUUAGAUGCCAGGAAUUGAUCCAAUUUGUUAACGACUUAGUGUUAAGUAUCAACAAUGUGUAACAUUUGUUGUCUUCAUUACAUGAUUUCUGAGGAAUAAUUUAUCUGCAUUCAAGCUGAUAACAGGAAUAUUUUACUGUAAUUUUCUUUCACUUGUUUCCAUUUCCUAAUGGAAAAGCAAUUAGCAAUUGAUGUUUCUCCCUUCCAAGUUUGUGUUAUUUCCAUCCCUUCUUUGUUUGUAUCUCUCAAUGUAAUUUAAAAUGCUGAACAUGUGCAAGUAAAUAUCAAGAUCAAGC